CCUGACUUGCCGCUCUGCCUUCCAGUUCCCACGAAAAAGGAAAAAAGAAAACUCAAGAGCCCAGGCUUAUCUAGAAACCUCGCUAACCCUCGAGGCCUCGAGUAGCUAUGAAGCAGCGAGGCGACGACGGUGCCGACGGCGCAGCUGCUUUCGCCGGCUGCCUGGAUUGCAGGUCCUCCGACCAUUGCUUUUUGCGGUAAAGAGACCCUUUCCAUACUAUCCUUCGCUUUUCGAUUGUGUCGAUGUUGUAGCUUUCGUGCCGGCAGGGAGGCAACGCCGCCGCCGCCGCCGACAGUGACGACGCUGCUGCCGCCUUCGGUUUCUAACUCCUUCGAUCAUCGCUUUUCUGAGUUGUUUGUGUUUUGGAAUCAAGGUGCACAUUUGCAUGAAUUGGAUCUUUUAGCGACCAGACCAUAUAGGUACAAACUUAGUUCCAUGGCUUCCGAUGACACUGCUGAAAUGUGAAUGUUCUGUUUCGACGACGUUGCCAAGAAAAUUGUUGGGAAAUCAUACAACUCUCCUAUCAUCAGUUACAGGGACUUCAACUAUCCUACUAGAUUUAACAUUGAUCGUAUCUCUUAAAUUCACAUUUGUAGUUGUGUACAACCAAAUAUCAUUUGUGGAUUUAGAGAAAGAACUCUUCAUGAAGUCAUUCAUAGCAUCAUAUGGAAGAAAUGUCAUUGCCAUCACCCAGAUGAAACAUUCCACUAUCUGUCAACUCCAACAAAACUAUUGUCUAGACCAAAACAAUCAUUCUCCAAAUUAACAGGAUAGUCCUGGAGAUGAAGGCCAGGACCUACCGUCGUUUGAGUCACCAUAAAAAAGGCUAGGCAGAAAUCCUUAAAGUUCAAUUAUGAGGAAAAUGUACUCGACAACUAUAAAUAAAAGGCACUUGAAGUUCAAAGUUAAGGCCCUGUUUGGGAACAAAGUUUUUGGAAACCACAGUUUUUGAAAUACUACAGUAUACUUUAGUCAUGACAAUACCACAAUUUAAAAUACUAUAGUUUUAGAAUACCACAGUAUUGGAUACAUAGAGGUGUUUGGAAGCAAAGUAUUUUUUUGCACGCGGUAGAGAUGCGCGCGCUGCGUUUUACAGAGAAAACUGAGGUAUAAACCUAAGUUUAGAAUACUUCAAAAGAGUUGCAGUAUUUGUAAUACUUUAGUUUUGAAAACAGAGAUUUUAGCUGGCUUGCCAAACACCUUUUGGUAUAUAAUACUACAGUUUUUGAGAAUACUGCAGUAUUCUUCCAAAACUUUGAAAAAACUUCACUCCCAAACACCCCCUAAGCAUUUGAAACACAGCCAGAUCUAUAUAACUUAUGUCUUAUUUGAAAAAACAAUAUUCCGAUAUCUUUUGUCUAUACAUCCUAAUAUAUGUACAAUUAAGUGCUACCAAGAGCCUAAAGCUCCACCUAUUAUGUAAUGACCAUGUAUUUAUGUAAUACAUGAUGAUCCA
RNA transcript from Zea mays, 1456 nucleotides. RefSeq lists it as uncharacterized. The transcript is spliced from 6 exons. Lineage: Eukaryota; Viridiplantae; Streptophyta; Magnoliopsida; Poales; Poaceae. The record is from RefSeq and is a predicted model, not a curated record.